AUUGAACGCUGGCGGCAUGCUUUACACAUGCAAGUCGAACGGUAACAGGCCUUCGGGUGCUGACGAGUGGCGAACGGGUGAGUAAUGCAUCGGAACGUACCCAGAGGUGGGGGAUAACGCAGCGAAAGCUGUGCUAAUACCGCAUGUGAUCUGAGGAUGAAAGCGGGGGACCGAGCAGCAAUGUUUGGCCUCGCGCCUUUGGAGCGGCCGAUGUCGGAUUAGCUAGUUGGUGGGGUAAAGGCCUACCAAGGCGACGAUCCGUAGCUGGUCUGAGAGGACGACCAGCCACACUGGGACUGAGACACGGCACAGACUACUACGGGAGGCAGCAGUGGGGAAUUUUGGACAAUGGGCGCAAGCCUGAUCCAGCAAUGCCGCGUGCGGGAAGAAGGCCUUCGGGUUGUAAACCGCUUUUGGCAGGAACGAAACGGUGUCCGCUAAUACCGGGCGCUAAUGACGGUACCUGCAGAAUAAGCACCGGCUAACUACGUG
RNAcentral lists this ribosomal RNA (492 nucleotides) under uncultured bacterium. RNAcentral's name for it is "partial 16S ribosomal RNA". It matches the Rfam family "Bacterial small subunit ribosomal RNA", at positions 29 to 507 of the family's 1533-position model. The record is from RNAcentral.